AUUGCGAGGGGUAAUGAAAGAACAUAUGCAAGGGGAGCAUUUGUAAAUAGUUCCGUUUAUUAUUAGCACACGAGUGUUCGAGUAGAGAUCCUUUUCAUUUUUCAAAACAAUUUGAUGGUCUUAAUUACUAGUAUAGUUUUAGCUUUGAUCACUAUAUCUUAGCUACUAUGUCCUUGUGUUCUAGUUAGUUUUCUGAUUAGUAAGGAGUAUA
Molecule: long non-coding RNA, 211 nt
Filed under: Trifolium pratense (red clover)
Lineage: Eukaryota; Viridiplantae; Streptophyta; Magnoliopsida; Fabales; Fabaceae
Description: long non-coding RNA (TPRA_LNC010870)
Source: RNAcentral